RNAcentral lists this ribosomal RNA (506 nucleotides) under uncultured bacterium. RNAcentral's name for it is "partial 16S ribosomal RNA". It matches the Rfam family "Bacterial small subunit ribosomal RNA", at positions 30 to 523 of the family's 1533-position model. The record is from RNAcentral.
AUUGAACGCUGGCGGCAGGCUUAACGCAUGCAAGUCGAGCGGUAACAGAGAGAAGCUUGCUUCUCUGCUGACGAGCGGCGGACGGGUGAGUAAUGCCUAGGAAUCUGCCUAGUAGUGGGGGAUAACUUGCCGAAAGGUAAGCUAAUACCGCAUACGUCCUACGGGAGAAAGGAGGGGACCUUCGGGCCUUUCGCUAUUAGAUGAGCCUAGGUCGGAUUAGUUAGUUGGUGAGGUAAUGGCUCACCAAGACCGCGAUCCGUAACUGGUCUGAGAGGAUGAUCAGUCACACUGGAACUGAGACACGGUCCAGACUCCUACGGGAGGCAGCAGUGGGGAAUAUUGGACAAUGGGGGGAACCCUCAUCCAGCCAUGCCGCGUGUGUGAAGAAGGUCUUAGGAUUGUAAAGCACUUUAAGUUGGGAGGAAGAGCAGUUAACUAAUAUUUGACUGUUUUGACGUUACCGACAGAAUAAGCACCGGCUAACUUCGUGCCAACCGCCGCGGUAA